Molecule: non-coding RNA, 29 nt
Filed under: Mus musculus (house mouse)
Lineage: Eukaryota; Metazoa; Chordata; Mammalia; Rodentia; Muridae
Source: RNAcentral
UNGUAAACAAGGUCCUCUGGUUUCUUAGG